This 550-nucleotide ribosomal RNA is filed under the name Staphylococcus aureus. Its description in RNAcentral is "bacterial SSU rRNA". It matches the Rfam family "Bacterial small subunit ribosomal RNA", at positions 166 to 703 of the family's 1533-position model. Lineage: Bacteria; Bacillati; Bacillota; Bacilli; Caryophanales; Staphylococcaceae. The record is from RNAcentral.
AUACCGGAUAAUAUUUUGAACCGCAUGGUUCAAAAGUGAAAGACGGUCUUGCUGUCACUUAUAGAUGGAUCCGCGCUGCAUUAGCUAGUUGGUAAGGUAACGGCUUACCAAGGCAACGAUGCAUAGCCGACCUGAGAGGGUGAUCGGCCACACUGGAACUGAGACACGGUCCAGACUCCUACGGGAGGCAGCAGUAGGGAAUCUUCCGCAAUGGGCGAAAGCCUGACGGAGCAACGCCGCGUGAGUGAUGAAGGUCUUCGGAUCGUAAAACUCUGUUAUUAGGGAAGAACAUAUGUGUAAGUAACUGUGCACAUCUUGACGGUACCUAAUCAGAAAGCCACGGCUAACUACGUGCCAGCAGCCGCGGUAAUACGUAGGUGGCAAGCGUUAUCCGGAAUUAUUGGGCGUAAAGCGCGCGUAGGCGGUUUUUUAAGUCUGAUGUGAAAGCCCACGGCUCAACCGUGGAGGGUCAUUGGAAACUGGAAAACUUGAGUGCAGAAGAGGAAAGUGGAAUUCCAUGUGUAGCGGUGAAAUGCGCAGAGAUAUGGAG